CCCUGGACUAAGAGUGAUGCCAAACUUGGUGACUCUCCCAUGUAAGGCUCCAAGGCCCAGGUGAAGAACAAGGACAAGGAUAAGGACAAGGACAAAGACAAAGACAAGUCCAAGGCACCCAAAGAUGACAAGAAAAAGAAGCAGCAACCAGUCCCGGAGCUCCCUGAGAAGAAGAACAAGCAGAAGAUUGAUGAACUCAAGGUCUUCAACAAAGAGCUGGAAUCAGAGUUUGACAACUUUGAGGAUUGGCUGCACACCUUCAACCUGCUGCGGGGGAAGAUUGGGGACAACGACGACAACGCCACAGAGGAGGAGCGAAUAGUGGGGAGGUUCAAGGGCUCCAUGUGUGUCUACAAAGUACCGCUCCCUGAUGACAUCAGCAAGGAGGCAGGAUACGACCCCACCUUCGGGAUGUUCCAGGGGAUCCCCAGCAAUGACCCCAUCAACGUGCUGGUCCGAGUCUACAUCGUGAGGGUGAGUGGGAAUUUGGGGUGUGGCAG
This is a non-coding RNA of Zonotrichia albicollis (white-throated sparrow), 500 nucleotides long. The record is from RefSeq and is a predicted model, not a curated record. Lineage: Eukaryota; Metazoa; Chordata; Aves; Passeriformes; Passerellidae.